AUUAUUUUUCAGACUGUGGUAAUUUAUAAAGGUCACGGAAAAGACGUUACAUUUUUAAUAAAAAAUUUAAGUGGUUUUAAAGCUGUUUUCAGAAUGUCUUCAAAACGCAAAAUUAUAUGUUGUACGCAAUAUUAAAUUUAUACGCGCAAAAGAUUUCAUGAUUGAUUUGGCUGAGAAUAUGGUAGAAUACGGAAAAGAUAUAACGGAAAACAAAAGAAGACCUGUGAAUCCAAUGCCACCUACUGAAGGUGUGGUGGGUAACCAUUUACCCAUCCAAACCGAUAAUAGGAGACGUUGCAUUUCGUGCACAAAAAAAAAAGUAGUGCGUGUAAUAGCUUUUUAUGUAAAAACUGUUUUGCAUCAUUUCACCUUUCCUGAUGCCCAUUUCUUCUCUAAGUAUUUUGCCCUCUGCUCUCGUUUUAUUUUUUCAUUUAUAUAAUUUUUUAUUGCCUUAAAAUACUAAGCAGACAUGAUGUUUUUUGAUAACAUUCAAUAAAUAGUAAAUAUAG
Melitaea cinxia (Glanville fritillary) is the source of this 509-nucleotide long non-coding RNA. RefSeq lists it as uncharacterized. The transcript is spliced from 2 exons. The record is from RefSeq and is a predicted model, not a curated record. NCBI's taxonomy places the organism in Eukaryota, Metazoa, Arthropoda, Insecta, Lepidoptera, Nymphalidae.